This 205-nucleotide unclassified non-coding RNA is filed under the name Hevea brasiliensis (rubber tree). The record is from RNAcentral. Lineage: Eukaryota; Viridiplantae; Streptophyta; Magnoliopsida; Malpighiales; Euphorbiaceae.
GCUAGACUGCAAGCUUCUUAACUCAACUCACUGGGACCAAAGGAUUAAUCCUUCUUAAUUUGCACCCUCAAUACCACCAUGCGAAUCUGAAUCUCAUCUCAACGAAGAAAAUUGCGACCAACACAGAUAAAGUAGUUGCUCCCAAAUCGGAAGACUCCUGCACCACCUGAUAUUGGAAGGGAUGACCACAUCCGGUUAGGGGAAG